RNAcentral lists this ribosomal RNA (253 nucleotides) under uncultured bacterium. Its description in RNAcentral is "partial 16S ribosomal RNA". It matches the Rfam family "Bacterial small subunit ribosomal RNA", at positions 524 to 776 of the family's 1533-position model. The record is from RNAcentral.
UACGGAGGAUCCAAGCGUUAUCCGGAUUUAUUGGGUUUAAAGGGUGCGUAGGCGGCCUAUUAAGUCAGAGGUGAAAGACGGUAGCUCAACUAUCGCAGUGCCUUUGAUACUGAUGGGCUUGAAUGAACUAGAGGUAGGCGGAAUGAGACAAGUAGCGGUGAAAUGCAUAGAUAUGUCUCAGAACACCGAUUGCGAAGGCAGCUUACUAUGGUCUUAUUGACGCUGAGGCACGAAAGCGUGGGGAUCAAACAGG